RNAcentral lists this ribosomal RNA (1394 nucleotides) under Phyllodytes acuminatus. Its description in RNAcentral is "partial 16S ribosomal RNA". It matches the Rfam family "Bacterial large subunit ribosomal RNA", at positions 379 to 2582 of the family's 2925-position model. The record is from RNAcentral. Lineage: Eukaryota; Metazoa; Chordata; Amphibia; Anura; Hylidae.
GCUAAAAAUAAAACCCACAAACAACCAAUGAGCAAAUUCAACUUACUUUUUAAACCAAAACAUUUUAUAAAUUUAGUAAAGGCGAUAGAAAAAUUAACAGGAGUAAUAGAGUACCGCAAGGGAAAAAUGAAAUAGAAAUGAAAUAGAAAUUUAAGCACAAAACAGUAGAGAUCCCCACUCGUACCUUUUGCAUCAUGGUUUAACAAGUCUAAUCAAGCACAACGAUUUACAGUUUGACCCCCCGAAACUAAGUGAGCUACUUCAGGGCAGCUUAUUGAGCAAAUCCGUCUCUGUUGCAAAAGAGUGGAAAGACCCUCAAGUAGAGGUGAUAAGCCUAACGAACUUAGUGAUAGCUGGUUAUUCAAAAAAAGGAUUUUAGUCCAGCCUAAAGUUUUGUCAAUUCUACAAAAUAAUUUUAUAACUUUAGAGUAACUCAAAUAAGGUACAGCCUAUUUGAAAAAGGAUACAACCUUAAACAAUGGGUAACAUUUUAUCUAUACAAUUAAGUGGGCCUAAAAGCAGCCACCUUUAAGACAGCCUUAAAGCUCUAAUGUAAAUUUAACUUAAUCUCACAAAACAAUCUUAACCCUUCAAUAUUAUUGAAUAAUUCUAUAUGAGUAUGGAACCUAUAAUGUUAAAACUAGUAACAAGAAGAAGACCUUCUCUUAAAUGCAAAUGUAAAUCAGCAAGAACUAAUCACUGAUGAUUAACACCAAUGAAACUAUAUUAGAAACUCAACAAGAAAAGCCUAAUAACCCCUAUGUUAACCUAACACAAGAGCAUCAAAAGAAAGAUUUAAAGAAAAAGAAGGAACUCGGCAAAUAAUAACCCCGCCUGUUUACCAAAAACACCGCCUUUUGAACAACUAUAAAAGGUCCAGCCUGCCCAGUGAUUUUUCAACGGCCGCGGUAUCUUGACCGCGCGAAGGUAGCAUAAUCAAUUGUUCUUUAAAUGAGGACUUGUAUGAAUGGCAUCACGAAGGUUAUACUGUCUCCUUUUUCUAAUCAGUGAAACUAAUCCCCCCGUGAAGAAGCGGGGAUAAAAGUAUAAGACGAGAAGACCCUAUGGAGCUUUAAACUAAGUAACAAGUGUUUUUAUGUCCCUUCUUAAAAACCCCCUAUUUUAACACUCUGAUUACUAGUUUUAGGUUGGGGUGACCGCGGAGCAAAAAUUAACCUCCACAUUGAACGGACCUACUCCUGAACCAAGAGCCACAACUCUAAUCACCAAUAAUUUGACAUUAAUUGACCCAAUAUUUUGAUCAACGAACCAAGUUACCCUAGGGAUAACAGCGCAAUCCACUUCAAGAGACCCUAUCAAAAAGUGGGCUUACGACCUCGAUGUUGGAUCAGGGUACCCCAGUGGUGCAGCCGCUACUAAAGGUUCGUUUGUUC